CCCUUAGAUGUUCUGGGCCGCACGCGCGCUACACUGAUGAAUUCAACGAGCACUAACCUGUGCAGAAAUGUUCGGGUAAUCUUGUGAAAUUUCAUCGUGAUGGGGAUUGAUUAUUGCAAUUAUUAAUCAUAAACGAGGAAUGCCUAGUAAGCGUGAGUCAUCAGCUCACGUUGAUUACGUCCCUGCCCUUUGUACACACCGCCCGUCGCUCCUACCGAUUGAAUGUGCUGGUGAAAAGUUCGGAUUGGGAAUAGGAGACGGCAACGUAUCCUGUUUCUGAGAAAAUCUUUAAACCCUCCCAUUUAGAGGAAGGAGAANUCGUANCA
This 326-nucleotide ribosomal RNA is filed under the name uncultured eukaryote. RNAcentral's name for it is "partial 18S ribosomal RNA". It matches the Rfam family "Eukaryotic small subunit ribosomal RNA", at positions 1470 to 1796 of the family's 1831-position model. The record is from RNAcentral.